This 65-nucleotide transfer RNA is filed under the name Lepidonotus sp. YZ-2018. Its description in RNAcentral is "tRNA-Asp". The record is from RNAcentral. Lineage: Eukaryota; Metazoa; Annelida; Polychaeta; Phyllodocida; Polynoidae.
GAAAUACUAGUUAAAUUUAUAACAUAAGCUUGUCAAGCCUAAAUUACUUUUAUAAGUGUAUUUCU